GAUGAACGCUGGCGGCGUGCCUAAUACAUGCAAGUCGAGCGAACGGACGAGAAGCUUGCUUCUCUGAUGUUAGCGGCGGACGGGUGAGUAACACGUGGAUAACCUACCUAUAAGACUGGGAUAACUUCGGGAAACCGGAGCUAAUACCGGAUAAUAUUUUGAACCGCAUGGUUCAAAAGUGAAGGACGGUCUUGCUGUCACUUAUAGAUGGAUCCGCGCUGCAUUAGCUAGUUGGUAGGGUAACGGCUUACCAAGGCAACGAUGCAUAGCCGACCUGAGAGGGUGAUCGGCCAAACUGGAACUGAGACACGGUCCAGACUCCUACGGGAGGCAGCAGUAGGGAAUCUUCCGCAAUGGGCGAAAGCCUGACGGAGCAACGCCGCGUGAGUGAUGAAGGUCUUCGGAUCGUAAAACUCUGUUAUUAGGGAAGAACAUAUGUGUAAGUAACUGUGCACAUCUUGACGGUACCUAAUCAGAAAGCCACGGCUAACUACGUG
RNAcentral lists this ribosomal RNA (497 nucleotides) under uncultured bacterium. RNAcentral's name for it is "partial 16S ribosomal RNA". It matches the Rfam family "Bacterial small subunit ribosomal RNA", at positions 28 to 507 of the family's 1533-position model. The record is from RNAcentral.